GCCGGAAGGCUGAACCAGCCAAGUCGCGUGAGGGAAGACUGCCCUAUGGGUUGUAAACCUCUUUUAUAAGGGAAGAAUAAGUUCUACGUGUAGAAUGAUGCCUGUACCUUAUGAAUAAGCAUCGGCUAACUCCGUGCCAGCAGCCGCGGUAAUACGGAGGAUGCGAGCGUUAUCCGGAUUUAUUGGGUUUAAAGGGUGCGUAGGCGGUUUAUUAAGUUAGUGGUUAAAUAUUUGAGCUAAACUCAAUUGUGCCAUUAAUACUGGUAAACUGGAGUACAGACGAGGUAGGCGGAAUAAGUUAAGUAGCGGUGAAAUGCAUAGAUAUAACUUAGAACUCCGAUAGCGAAGGCAGCUUACCAGACUGUAACUGACGCUGAUGCACGAGAGCGUGGGUAGCGAACAGGAUUAGAUACCCUGGUAGUCCACGCCGUAAACGAUGCUCACUGGUUCUGUGCGAUAUAUUGUACGGGAUUAAGCGAAAGUAUUAAGUGAGCCACCUGGGGAGUACGUCGGCAACGAUGAAACUCAAAGGAAUUGACGGGGGCCCGCACAAGCGGAGGAACAUGUGGUUUAAUUCGAUGAUACGCGAGGAACCUUACCCGGGUUUAAAUGGGAAAUGUCGUAUUUGGAAACAGAUAUUCUCUUCGGAGCGUUUUUCAAGGUGCUGCAUGGUUGUCGUCAGCUCGUGCCGUGAGGUGUCGGGUUAAGUCCCAUAACGAGCGCAACCCUUACCGUUAGUUGCUAGCAUGUAAUGAUGAGCACUCUAACGGGACUGCCACCGUAAGGUGUGAGGAAGGCGGGGAUGACGUCAAAUCAGCACGGCCCUUACA
Molecule: ribosomal RNA, 830 nt
Filed under: human gut metagenome
Description: bacterial SSU rRNA
Rfam family: Bacterial small subunit ribosomal RNA
Source: RNAcentral